This 448-nucleotide ribosomal RNA is filed under the name uncultured Planctomycetota bacterium. Its description in RNAcentral is "bacterial SSU rRNA". It matches the Rfam family "Bacterial small subunit ribosomal RNA", at positions 217 to 656 of the family's 1533-position model. The record is from RNAcentral. Lineage: Bacteria; Pseudomonadati; Planctomycetota.
GCUUAGAGAGGGGUCAAUGUCCUAUCAGCUAGUUGGUAGGGUAAUGGCCUACCAAGGCUAAGACGGGUAGCCGGCCUGAGAGGGUGGUCGGCCACACUGGGACUGAGACACUGCCCAGACUCCUACGGGAGGCUGCAGUCGAGAAUCCUUCGCAAUGCCCGAAAGGGUGACGAAGCGACGCCGCGUGUGGGAAGAAGGCCUUCGGGUUGUAAACCACUGUCGGGAGUUAAGAAAUGCAAGGGUGUUAAUAGCAUCCUUGCUUGACUAAGGCUCCGGAGGAAGCCACGGCUAACUCUGUGCCAGCAGCCGCGGUAAUACAGAGGCGGCAAGCGUUGUUCGGAAUUAUUGGGCGUAAAGAGCACGUAGGCGGCUUUGUAAGUCAGUUGCGAAAGCCUUCUGCUCAACGGAAGAACAGCAUCUGAUACUGCAAGGCUAGAGUGCGGAAGGG